GAUGAAGAACGCAGCGAAAUGCGAUAAGUAAUGCGAAUUGCAGAAUCCGUGAGUCAUCGAAUCUUUGAACGCACAUUGCGCCCCUUGGUUAUUCCGAAGGGCAUGCCUGUUCGAGCGUCAUUAUCACCCCUCAAGCCCUGGCUUGGUGUUGGGCGACGUCCCCUUUGGGGACGCGCCUCGAAACGCUCGGCGGCGUGGCACCGGCUUUAAGCGUAGCAGAAUCUUUCGCUUUGGAAGUCGGGGCCCCGUCUGCCGGAAGACCUACUCGCAAGGUUGACCUCGGGUCAGGCAGGGAUACCCGCUGAACUUAAGCAUAUCAAUAAGCGGAGGA
RNAcentral lists this unclassified non-coding RNA (331 nucleotides) under soil metagenome. RNAcentral describes it as "partial contains 5.8S ribosomal RNA, internal transcribed spacer 2, and large subunit ribosomal RNA". The stretch from base 1 to 120 matches the Rfam family "5.8S ribosomal RNA", at positions 35 to 154 of the family's 154-position model. The record is from RNAcentral.